Molecule: ribosomal RNA, 554 nt
Filed under: Camellia oleifera (tea-oil Camellia)
Lineage: Eukaryota; Viridiplantae; Streptophyta; Magnoliopsida; Ericales; Theaceae
Description: eukaryotic LSU rRNA
Rfam family: 5.8S ribosomal RNA (bases 211-364)
Source: RNAcentral
UAACAAGGUCUCCGUUGGUGAACCAGCGGAGGGAUCAUUACUGAGUUUACGCUCUAUAACCCUUUGUGAACAUACCUAUAACUGUUGCUUCGGCGGGUAGGGUCUCCGCGACCCUCCCGGCCUCCCGCCUCCGGGCGGGUCGGCGCCCGCCGGAGGAUAACCAAACUCUGAUUUAACGACGUUUCUUCUGAGUGGUACAAGCAAAAUCAAAACUUUUAACAACGGAUCUCUUGGUUCUGGCAUCGAUGAAGAACGCAGCGAAAUGCGAUAAGUAAUGUGAAUUGCAGAAUUCAGUGAAUCAUCGAAUCUUUGAACGCACAUUGCGCCCGCCAGCAUUCUGGCGGGCAUGCCUGUUCGAGCGUCAUUUCAACCCUCAAGCUCUGCUUGGUGUUGGGGCCCUACAGCUGAUGUAGGCCCUCAAAGGUAGUGGCGGACCCUCCCGGAGCCUCCUUUGCGUAGUAACUUUACGUCUCGCACUGGGAUCCGGAGGGACUCUUGCCGUAAAACCCCCCAAUUUUCCAAAGGUUGACCUCGGAUCAGGUAGGAAUACCCGC